AUAGAUCCUCUCGACGCGACAGCGCGGAAUUCUUCUCGGGCUAGCAUGAUCUUCUUUUCCGUUAACGCAGACACCUUUAGUUUUUCAUUAACCGAUUCUGCAGUUACUUUGGUUUCUCUGAGCACAUUUAUAAGCGCUUCAUCGUCUACUAAAGAGCCUUCGGAAGAGGUGAGUCGAUGUAACAGAGUGCUUUCGAGUUCUUUCAUUGAUCGUUGGUUCGUCAUCACAGAUUCGAACAGAGUCACCCUUUCGGCUUCUAAGUCUGCCUUUUCCAUAAGGAUAACUCUACCAAGUAGCUGAUCUUCCAGGCCUAACAUCGUGACGGUAAAAUCGAUUAUCGAUGUCUUUGCUGAAAUUUCAGGACUGUAAGCAGGAUUUGGUAAUUUCGUGGUGAUGUACAACAUAAAACCGGGCAUUACAUCGCAUUCUUUGUCACCGACGAUUACUUUCUCGAUGGAACCGGAUUUAAUAAAAUUCUUUUCAAGCACGUUAUCGAGAACUGGAUCUAACUCUUCCGCGAUGUCUUCUAUCAGCAAUGGUCUGCCUAAAGAGAGACUGUCUUCAAGAUGAGAGUCAUACUUUUGCCUGUCCGAUGUUUCUAACAGUGCUCCUAUACCCCACACCAAAGCAAAAACGUAAAAGCGUUUUAGAUGUUCGGCUGUCAUCGGUUGGCGUUUUUCAUCUUCUGUUUCUUCGUCGUUGUCUUCUUCUAUGCGUACUUCGGGUGGAAUUAGACCCUCGAGGAGACAUAACAUUUGUCGCACUAUGUUGCAUUGUAGAACGUCUAUUGUCAACGAUAAAGCUUGAGUGCUCCAUGAAUAAAUCUAUAAAUUAAUUAUAUGUUGCCGCAAUUACAAUAUUACAAUAUUACAAUGUUACAAUACAAUAAUAUUGUUAGAAAUUUUAUUUAGGAUACAAAUAAAUAGUUUCUAGAAUUAACUUAAUAUUUUCAUAGUAAUUUUUUCAGGAAAUAUGAAAUAUGAAAUGUGAAAAAUAGUUUCGUAAUAAGGUAAAACAAUGUGAUUAAUUUUUCAUGUUAAUUUGUAAUUACAUUACUAAUUUGUUUAGAAUUGAAUAUUUACACAUAUGGAUCAAAUGGAAAUAUGGGAUAAUGGACAAAUAUAAACUCGAAAUAUCAACAACAAAAUAUAUAUUGAAGUAUCUGGAAAAUAAGACAUAAUUUUCUUCACGUUUAAUUUUCUUUAUCAACAUUUGAACAAAAUUUGCGCAAGUACCUCUAUUUAAUCUAAUUAUGAAUAAUGUGUUUUUAAAUAUUUUAUAUAAUGACAAUUAUGUUUCUUUACCUGCGUAAAAGAAUCUGUAAAACAUUGACCAAACACUUCUUGCUCCAAAGGUGUUCGACUUUUCAACCAAGCAGUCACCACAGGAUUCCAGUCCAAUCCUGAUGAACUCAUGUACACCAUUCCAUUACGAGAUACCGUAGCUGGACUUGCAUUGUCGAUAUUAUGAGGCUCAAAGAUGAUCUUGCAAUUAGAUGACAUCGAUAAUCGGUCACCAUUCGCAAGAGUCAGAGUUUUAUUGUCGUCCAGUACAGAGUUUAAGUUCUCGA
RNAcentral lists this unclassified non-coding RNA (1570 nucleotides) under Bombus terrestris (buff-tailed bumblebee). RNAcentral's name for it is "misc RNA ENSBTSG00005034504.1". The record is from RNAcentral. Lineage: Eukaryota; Metazoa; Arthropoda; Insecta; Hymenoptera; Apidae.